RNAcentral lists this ribosomal RNA (1041 nucleotides) under Gilliamella apicola. Its description in RNAcentral is "bacterial SSU rRNA". It matches the Rfam family "Bacterial small subunit ribosomal RNA", at positions 401 to 1437 of the family's 1533-position model. Lineage: Bacteria; Pseudomonadati; Pseudomonadota; Gammaproteobacteria; Orbales; Orbaceae. The record is from RNAcentral.
GUAUGAAGAAGGCCUUCGGGUUGUAAAGUACUUUCGGUGAUGAGGAAGGUGACGUAUCUAAUAGGUAUGUUAAUUGACGUUAAUUACAGAAGAAGCACCGGCUAACUCCGUGCCAGCAGCCGCGGUAAUACGGAGGGUGCGAGCGUUAAUCGGAAUGACUGGGCGUAAAGGGCAUGUAGGCGGAUAAUUAAGUUAGGUGUGAAAGCCCUGGGCUCAACCUAGGAAUUGCACUUAAAACUGGUUAACUAGAGUAUUGUAGAGGAAGGUAGAAUUCCACGUGUAGCGGUGAAAUGCGUAGAGAUGUGGAGGAAUACCGGUGGCGAAGGCGGCCUUCUGGACAGAUACUGACGCUGAGAUGCGAAAGCGUGGGGAGCAAACAGGAUUAGAUACCCUGGUAGUCCACGCUGUAAACGAUGUCGAUUUGGAGUUUGUUGCCUUGAGUGAUGGGCUCCGAAGCUAACGCGAUAAAUCGACCGCCUGGGGAGUACGGCCGCAAGGUUAAAACUCAAAUGAAUUGACGGGGGCCCGCACAAGCGGUGGAGCAUGUGGUUUAAUUCGAUGCAACGCGAAGAACCUUACCUGGUCUUGACAUCCACAGAAUCUUGCAGAGAUGCGGGAGUGCCUUCGGGAACUGUGAGACAGGUGCUGCAUGGCUGUCGUCAGCUCGUGUUGUGAAAUGUUGGGUUAAGUCCCGCAACGAGCGCAACCCUUAUCCUUUGUUGCCAUCGGUUUGGCCGGGAACUCAAAGGAGACUGCCGUUGAUAAAGCGGAGGAAGGUGGGGACGACGUCAAGUCAUCAUGGCCCUUACGACCAGGGCUACACACGUGCUACAAUGGCGUAUACAAAGGGAGGCGACCUCGCGAGAGCAAGCGGACCUCAUAAAGUACGUCUAAGUCCGGAUUGGAGUCUGCAACUCGACUCCAUGAAGUCGGAAUCGCUAGUAAUCGUGAAUCAGAAUGUCACGGUGAAUACGUUCCCGGGCCUUGUACACACCGCCCGUCACACCAUGGGAGUGGGUUGCACCAGAAGUAGAUAGCUUA